UACGUAGGGGGCAAGCGUUGUCCGGAUUUACUGGGCGUAAAGAGCGCGCAGGCGGCUGGUCAAGUCCGAUGUGAAAUCUCCCGGCCUAACUGGGAAACUGCAUCGGAAACUGAUCGGCUUGAAGGUGGGAGAGGGUAGUGGAAUUCCCGGUGUAGUGGUGAAAUGCGUAGAUAUCGGGAGGAACACCAGUGGCGAAGGCGACUACCUGGCCCAUUCUUGACGCUGAGGCGCGAAAGCUAGGGGAGCGAACGGG
Molecule: ribosomal RNA, 253 nt
Filed under: uncultured bacterium
Lineage: Bacteria
Description: partial 16S ribosomal RNA
Rfam family: Bacterial small subunit ribosomal RNA
Source: RNAcentral